CAAUAGCGUAUAUUAAAGUUGUUGCAGUUAGAACGCUCGUAGUCGGAUUUCGGGUCGGGCCGACCGGUCUGCCGAUGGGUACGCACUGGUCGGCGCGUCCUUCCUCUCGGAGACUGUUCCUACUCUUAACUGAGCGGGAGCAGGAUACGGGACUUUUACUUUGAAAAAAUCAGAGUGUUUCAAGCAGGCAGCUCGCUCUUGCAUGGAUUAGCAUGGGAUAAUGAAAUAGGACUUUGGUGCUAUUUUGUUGGUUUCGAACACCGAAGUAAUGAUGAGAAGGGACAGUCAGGGGCACUCGUAUUCCGCCGAGAGAGGUGAAAUUCUCAGACCAGCGGAAGACGAACCACUGCGAAAGCAUUUGCCAGGGAUGUUUNCACUGA
This 380-nucleotide ribosomal RNA is filed under the name uncultured eukaryote. RNAcentral describes it as "partial 18S ribosomal RNA". It matches the Rfam family "Eukaryotic small subunit ribosomal RNA", at positions 592 to 976 of the family's 1831-position model. The record is from RNAcentral.